AACAGGAGAGGUGAAAUUAGCCUUAAUCACAUCCUGAUAUUAAUUAAUGCAUAGUUUAUAAAAUAACUCACAUUGCCCAAAUGCUGUGCUUUUCAGCCUCAACAUGCAUGGAAAAUUCUUACACUGGGUUGUUCAGUCUACCUCCUUUUCUGGGUGAUGGUAUUAAUUGCUUUACCCCUGUUUCCCAAAGUACAAUGGAAUGAUAACAUUCUCUCCUCAAUUUCAGGAUCUCAGAGGAAGUUGGGACAGGUUCCAUUGGGUUGGGAUGAAAACUGUCUUCCUUUAUGCUCCCAUGGUCUCUGAGUGCUCUGCUUGAACAAAUGAAUCAAGUAAAUUAUGAAGAGAUGAAUUAUAUUGUGGAUGAGAAUCAAAAUAUCUGGGUUUAAGUCUUGAAUUGAGAUAAUAUGAGCUGCAAGAACUUAACCAAGUCUCUACACUUCUCUGACCCUCUGCUUCCUUAUCCACAAAAUGGUUAGAUAAUAGUUAACUCUUUGGGGGUUACUGUCACGAUUGAAUGUGCAGUGCCCAUAGGCAGUUCUAAAAAUAGUUUCUCUUUCAUUCUAUCACUUGGAAAAUUUUUAAUAUGUCAUUUUAGUCAAUGCUUUGAAGGAACUAAUGUGUCAGUUAAUAACAACUUAGUGAUCAAUUCCACCCUGCACAUCCCCGAAGCAGGGCUGUAGGUCUCUGAGAAGACAGUACUGCAUCAAAGUCUGUUUACCAGUCCUUACCACAGCACAUGUAAAUAUGUUUGAAAUAGGGUCAGCCACUAUCUUAAACAAGUGAAUAUAUUUAAAAUGAUUUAUUAAAGUACCAUUAGAUGCUUCUCAGUGACUAAAAAGGCCUCUCAAUUUUGACAUGUUUGACAACUUUUAGUUCAGAAGCGAGAUGGUACUGUCUUACAGAGGGGCAGGCAGGUGAACUUAUCGGUGUAGCAGAGGCUCAUACAGGUACCACUUCAAAGACUUCUACAUCCCUGUGACUCUCAUUUUUGUAUGCAAAGAUUGGUCUUGGGCUCAUCUUCAGACACCAGGAAUCACAUGAAAAUGGCUACACAAGGAGAAAUUGUGCUGAUGAAGCAAGCCAUGGCCUCGUCACAAUACCAGCUGUGGCCUGGGUCUGUGCCCUGGCUUGGUAGGUGUGACUCACUGAUGCUUAGAGUUAGAAUGUACGAUUUUUUAAAAGUUAACUUUAAGACAUAGGUUCUUAUUUAUAUUUUUUUCUCUUUCUCUUCCAACUUUGACUCUAUAAAUAAAAAAGAAAAGGUGAAAAUCUCAACGCUGG
Molecule: long non-coding RNA, 1281 nt
Filed under: Marmota monax (woodchuck)
Lineage: Eukaryota; Metazoa; Chordata; Mammalia; Rodentia; Sciuridae
Source: RNAcentral